Molecule: ribosomal RNA, 480 nt
Filed under: uncultured bacterium
Lineage: Bacteria
Description: bacterial SSU rRNA
Rfam family: Bacterial small subunit ribosomal RNA
Source: RNAcentral
CCUGGCUUAGGACGAACGCUGGCGGCAUGCCUAACACAUGCAAGUCGAACGGGGGUAGCAAUACCCUAGUGGCGAACGGGUGAGUAACACAUAAGCAAUCUGCCCUUCACAGGGGGAUAACAGCGGGAAACUGCUGCUAAUACCGCAUAAGACCACGGUACCGCAUGGUACAGGGGUAAAAACGAAUCAGUGGUGAAGGAUGAGCUUAUGUCCCAUUAGCUAGUUGGUGAGAUAACAGCCCACCAAGGCGACGAUGGGUAGCCGACCUGAGAGGGUGAUCGGCCACACUGGAACUGAGACACGGUCCAGACUCCUACGGGAGGCAGCAGUGGGGAAUAUUGGGCAAUGGAGGAAACUUCCUUACCCAGCAAUGCCGCGUGAGUGAAGAAGGUCUUCGGAUUGUAAAGCUCUUUGAUUGGGGACGAAGAAAGUGACGGUACCCAAAGAACAAGCCCCGGCUAACUACGUGCCAGCAGCUGC